CUAAUACAUGCAAGUCGAGCGCGACUGAUUACACCGUUCCUUUUGGACACCGUAAUCAUCGAGCGGCGGACGGGUGAGUAACACGUGGGCAACCUACCCUUAAGACUGGGAUAACCGCGGGAAACCGUGGCUAAUACCGGAUAAUACUUUUAUACAUCAGUAUAGGAGUUGAAAGGUGGAUUUCUAUCACUUAAGGAUGGGCCUGCGGCGCAUUAGCUCGUUGGUAAGGUAAUGGCUUACCAAGGCGACGAUGCGUAGCCGACCUGAGAGGGUGAUCGGCCACACUGGAACUGAGACACGGUCCAGACUCCUACGGGAGGCAGCAGUAGGGAAUCUUCCGCAAUGGGCGAAAGCCUGACGGAGCAACGCCGCGUGUGCGAAGAAGGUCUUCGGAUCGUAAAGCACUGUUGUUAAGGAAGAACGACAGUAAGAGUAACUGCUUACUGUGUGACGGUACUUAACCAGAAAGCCACGGCUAACUACGUGCCAGCAGCCGCGGUAAUACGUAGGUGGCAAGCGUUAUCCGGAAUUAUUGGGCGUAAAGCGCGCGUAGGCGGCGAAGAUUAGUCUGAUGUGAAACCCCCCGGCUCAACCGGGGAGGGUCAUUGGAAACUGUUUUCCUUGAGUGCAGAAGAGGAGAGUGGAAUUCCUUGUGUACCGGUGAAAUCCCCAAAAAUUUGAAGAACCCCCAGUGGCGAAAGGCAA
Molecule: ribosomal RNA, 705 nt
Filed under: uncultured bacterium
Lineage: Bacteria
Description: bacterial SSU rRNA
Rfam family: Bacterial small subunit ribosomal RNA
Source: RNAcentral